RNA transcript from Brassica napus (rape), 1131 nucleotides. It is a transcript of the gene named succinate-semialdehyde dehydrogenase, mitochondrial-like, with no coding region annotated. The record is from RefSeq and is a predicted model, not a curated record. Lineage: Eukaryota; Viridiplantae; Streptophyta; Magnoliopsida; Brassicales; Brassicaceae. The transcript is spliced from 7 exons.
UUUCUUUGUAUGAUGGCAGCUGCUGCAUCUACUGCAAGAAGGUAUGCUUAAGCCACAAUGUCAUGUUAUUUGAAAUUUUGAAAUAUAUCCUCCAGAUCAAAUAUUGCUGGUACCUCUUUUUUCCAUGGUGUAGGUUUCUCUAGAACUUGGCGGCAAUGCACCCUCCAUAAUAUUUGAUGAUGCAGACCUGGAUGUUGCAGUAAAAGCAACGGAAUAGUGGCCAGACAUGUGUUUGUGCGAACAGAGUACUUGUGCAAGAUGUACAAAAAUUAGAAGUAGGAGAUGGCUUUAAGGAGGGGACACCCAGGUCCACUUAUAAACGGUGCAUUAAUUCAAAAGGUAGUCAUUCGUACAAGAUGCUGUUUCCAACGUAUGUUUUUCCUUAUGCAUCUUUGCAAACCUUGAUUUCUAAUUGAGAGAGCAAAAAUCAUUCUCGGCGGCAAAAGGCACAGUCUAGGGAUGACUUUUUAUGAGGCUCUACUGUUAUCCGUGAUCAUGUCUAUGCAAGUUCUGAAAGAUUCACAUAAUUUCAGUGUUUUAGCUUUUUGUCUCUAAAGAAUGAAGUUGAAGCAUCUAGUGUUCUUCGCAUUUGUUUCUUAGGAAGGAGAUUUUCGGACCAGUAGCUCCCCUUAUUCGGUUCAUAACCGAGAAGGAAGCUGUCAGAAUCGCUAAUGACACUAUUGCAGGACUUGCUGCUUAUAUAUUCACAAACAGUGUCCAAUGAUCGUGGCGUGUCUCUGAAGCACUUGAGUACGGGCUUGUAGGGGUGAACGAAAGGACUCAUAUCAACAGAAGCAAGACCAGAAAUGGAAGAAUCACAUUUUUGAAAAUUAGUCAUUCAUUUGGUCCAGUGUCCUCCCACAAUUUGGGGUGGCCUAAAGCAUUAAAAAAAUUGUGUGGCCUAUUAUAUUAUAUACCAAUAAUAUAUAGUAAUACACUAACACCAAAUCAGUACAAAAGUGUAAAAAAUAAUCAAAUGGUUAAAAUAAAAACUAUAUUGGACAAAAGGAGGAUAGUUCUCCUAACUCAAUUCAAACUUGUUAACCAUUUGACCUAGCUAAUAUUUGAUGAUAUGUGGCCUUAAUUCGUCUUCUAUAUAUUGGACAAAAGGAGGAUCAAACUAUGGUAUCC